Molecule: long non-coding RNA, 470 nt
Filed under: Vulpes vulpes (red fox)
Lineage: Eukaryota; Metazoa; Chordata; Mammalia; Carnivora; Canidae
Description: lncRNA (ENSVVUG00000014113.1)
Source: RNAcentral
CAAUAGAAAUAGUUGGAAUGUGAGUGCUUUGUGUUUGCAUGUUUGACAGGUUGAAAGAAGGAAGAGACACCUUUGCUCUGGGUCCUUGAAGUUCCUUGGAGAGGGCAGGACCAAGAGCAUCUCAGUGACAAACAUAAUGGACUGAAAUCCAGGGUCCCUCUGCAAUUUUCCAGCACUGUAUUGGUUCUAAUUUUGAAGUACACAGAUGAAGAUAAAGAUACACUGGAGAGGAAAACAUUUUUCCCAGAGAAGCAGAACGGAGAGUGUGAAGUGCUAAAGACCCAGAAAAGGGAUGAUGAUUAGAAUUUCAGAUCCAGCAGACCUGUGGAUCUGCACAUACAAGCAAUACCUUCUAUCUCUACCUGUCCUCCAUGACGUCUGUUUGGAAUCACUGAAUUGAGAAACACAUACCAUGUGUUAAUUUAAGGUAGGGGAAUAAAGUUUCUAACAAUACUGGGGAUUUAUAAUAA